This 253-nucleotide ribosomal RNA is filed under the name uncultured bacterium. RNAcentral describes it as "partial 16S ribosomal RNA". It matches the Rfam family "Bacterial small subunit ribosomal RNA", at positions 524 to 776 of the family's 1533-position model. The record is from RNAcentral.
UACAGAGGGUGCGAGCGUUAAUCGGAUUUACUGGGCGUAAAGCGUGCGCAGGCGGCUUUGCAAGACAGAUGUGAAAUCCCCGGGCUCAACCUGGGAACUGCAUUUGCGACUGCAAGGCUGGAGUACGGCAGAGGGGGAUGGAAUUCCGCGUGUAGCAGUGAAAUGCGUAGAUAUGCGGAGGAACACCGAUGGCGAAGGCAAUCCCCUGGGCCUGUACUGACGCUCAUGCACGAAAGCGUGGGGAGCAAACAGG